Molecule: ribosomal RNA, 462 nt
Filed under: uncultured bacterium
Lineage: Bacteria
Description: partial 16S ribosomal RNA
Rfam family: Bacterial small subunit ribosomal RNA
Source: RNAcentral
CCUACGGGAGGCAGCAGUGAGGAAUAUUGGUCAAUGGGCUUACGCCUGAACCAGCCAAGUCGCGUGAGGGAAGACUGCCCUAUGGGUUGUAAACCUCUUUUGUCAGGGAGCAACGCCGGCUACGUGUAGCCGGACUGAGAGUACCUGAAGAAAAAGCAUCGGCUAACUCCGUGCCAGCAGCCGCGGUAAUACGGGGGAUGCAAGCGUUAUCCGGAUUUAUUGGGUUUAAAGGGUGCGUAGGCUGUGAGGUAAGUCAGCGGUGAAAUGCCCCCGCUCAACGGGGUGAAGUGCCAUUGAUACUGCCUUGCUGGAAUGCGGAUGCCGUGGGAGGAAUGUGUGGUGUAGCGGUGAAAUGCAUAGAUAUCACACAGAACACCGAUUGCGAAGGCAUCUCACGAAUCCGCGAUUGACGCUGAUGCACGAAAGCGUGGGUAUCAAACAGGAUUAGAUACCCUUGUAGUC